RNAcentral lists this ribosomal RNA (698 nucleotides) under uncultured Phycisphaeraceae bacterium. Its description in RNAcentral is "bacterial SSU rRNA". It matches the Rfam family "Bacterial small subunit ribosomal RNA", at positions 94 to 825 of the family's 1533-position model. Lineage: Bacteria; Pseudomonadati; Planctomycetota; Phycisphaerae; Phycisphaerales; Phycisphaeraceae. The record is from RNAcentral.
AGUGGCGGAAGGGCGAGUAAUGCAUUCCUACGUGCCCCAAGGUGGGGGAUAGGUCGGGGAAACCCGGCGUAAUACCUCAUGUGCUCUUCGGAGGAAAGCCGCAAGGCGCCUUGGGAGCGGGGAAUGUCCUAUCAGGUAGUUGGCGGGGUAAAGGCCCACCAAGCCUAUGACGGGUAGCGGGUGUGAGAGCACGACCCGCCGCAUCGGGACUGAGACACUGCCCGGACUCCUACGGGAGGCUGCAGCGACAAAUAUUCCGCAAUGCGCGAAAGCGUGACGGAGCGACGCCGCGUGCAGGAUGAAGCGGCUCUGCCGUGUAAACUGCUGUCAGGGUGUAGAAAUACUGAUCACACCCAAAGGAAGGGCCUGCUAAUCUCGUGCCAGCAGCAGCGGUAAUACGAGAGGCCCGAGCGUUAAUCGGAAUCACUGGGCUUAAAGGGUGCGUAGGCGGAGCCGCAAGUGUCUCGUGAAACCCCCCGUCUCAACCGGGGAACUGCGGGGCAUACUGCGGUUCUUGAGGCAGGUAGGGGUCGCUGGAACGCUAGGUGGAGCGGUGAAAUGCGUAGAUAUCUAGCGGAACGCCGAUGGUGAAGACAGGCGGCUGGGCCUAGCCUGACGCUGAGGCACGAAAGCGUGGGGAGCAAACAGGAUUAGAUACCCUGGUAGUCCACGCCGUAAACGAUGCGCACUAGAUCGGG